Molecule: ribosomal RNA, 242 nt
Filed under: uncultured Planctomycetales bacterium
Lineage: Bacteria; Pseudomonadati; Planctomycetota; Planctomycetia; Planctomycetales
Description: partial 16S ribosomal RNA
Rfam family: Bacterial small subunit ribosomal RNA
Source: RNAcentral
GGAGUUAGGAAAUGUAAGUGCGCUAAUAUCGCAUUUAUUUGACGAAGGCUCCAAAGGAAGCCACGGCUAACUCUGUGCCAGCAGCCGCGGUAAUACAGAGGUGGCAAGCGUUGUUCGGAGUUAUUGGGCGUAAAGAGCACGUAGGUGGGUUUGUAAGUCAGAUGUGAAAGCCUUCUGUUCAACGGAAGAAUUGCAUCUGAAACUACAGACCUUGAGUAUAGGAGGGGAGAGUGGAACUUCUG